AAAAAAGGUAAGCUACUAAGAGCGAAUGGUGGAUGCCUUGACUGGUAAAGGCGAUGAAGGACGUACUAGACUGCGAUAAGCUACGGGGAGCUGUCAAGAAGCUUUGAUCCGUAGAUUUCCGAAUGGGGCAACCCAAUGUAUAGAGAUAUACAUUACCUAUAUAGGAGCGAACGAGGGGAAUUGAAACAUCUUAGUACCCUCAGGAAAAGAAAUCAAUAGAGAUUGCGUCAGUAGCGGCGAGCGAAAGCGCAAGAGGGCAAACCCAGUGCUUGCACUGGGGGUUGUAGGACUGCAAUGUGCAAGAGGUAAGUUUAGCAGAACAUUCUGGAAAGUAUAACCAUAGAGGGUGAUAGUCCCGUAUGCGAAAAACAAACCUUAGCUAGCAGUAUCCUGAGUAGGGCGGGACACGAGGAAUCCUGUCUGAAUCCGGGUCGACCACGAUCCAACCCUAAAUACUAAUACCAGAUCGAUAGUGCACAAGUACCGUGAGGGAAAGGUGAAAAGAACUGAGGUGAUCAGAGUGAAAUAGAACCUGAAACCAUUUGCUUACAAUCAUUCAGAGCCCUAUGUAGCAAUACAGGGUGAUGGACUGCCUUUUGCAUAAUGAGCCUGCGAGUUGUGGUGUCUGGCAAGGUUAAGCAAACGCGAAGCCGUAGCGAAAGCGAGUCUGAAUAGGGCGCUUAGUCAGAUGCUGCAGACCCGAAACGAAGUGAUCUAUCCAUGAGCAAGUUGAAGCUAGUGUAAGAACUAGUGGAGGACUGAACCCAUAGGCGUUGAAAAGCCCCGGGAUGACUUGUGGAUAGGGGUGAAAGGCCAAUCAAACUUCGUGAUAGCUGGUUCUCUCCGAAAUAUAUUUAGGUAUAGCGUUGUGUCGUAAUAUAAGGGGGUAGAGCACUGAAUGGGCUAGGGCAUACACCAAUGUACCAAACCCUAUCAAACUCCGAAUACCUUAUAUGUAAUCACAGCAGUCAGGCGGCGAGUGAUAAAAUCCGUCGUCAAGAGGGAAACAACCCAGACUACCAGCUAAGGUCCCUAAAUCUUACUUAAGUGGAAAACGAUGUGAAGUUACUUAAACAACCAGGAGGUUGGCUUAGAAGCAGCCAUCCUUUAAAGAAAGCGUAAUAGCUCACUGGUCUAGUGAUUUUGCGCGGAAAAUAUAACGGGGCUAAAGUAAGUACCGAAGCUGUAGACUUGCACACAACUUAGAUUAUUUAAGUUUAGAAUAUGAGAAACUAAGUUAUAUGUUUAGUUAUAUUUUUACUGAUUUUUAUAGAGUAAAGAUAGAAAUAAAACUUAGUAAAAUCAGUAAAAAUAUUCUUAGACUAAAGUUAAGUAGUUUAAGUUGUGUGCAAGUGGUAGGAGAGCGUUCUAUUUGCGUCGAAGGUAUACCGGUAAGGAGUGCUGGAGCGAAUAGAAGUGAGCAUGCAGGCAUG
RNAcentral lists this ribosomal RNA (1433 nucleotides) under Campylobacter jejuni. Its description in RNAcentral is "partial 23S ribosomal RNA". It matches the Rfam family "Bacterial large subunit ribosomal RNA", at positions 1 to 1304 of the family's 2925-position model. Lineage: Bacteria; Pseudomonadati; Campylobacterota; Epsilonproteobacteria; Campylobacterales; Campylobacteraceae. The record is from RNAcentral.